CUACGGGUCGCAGCAGUAAGGAAUAUUGCGCAAUGGAGGCAACUCUGACGCAGCCAUGCCGCGUGCAGGAAGAAGGCCUUAUGGGUCGUAAACUGCUUUUAUCUAGGAAUAAACCCCCGAACGUGUUCGGGGCUGAAGGUAUUAAACGAAUAAGCACCGGCUAACUCCGUGCCAGCAGCCGCGGUAAUACGGAGGGUGCAAGCGUUAUCCGGAUUUAUUGGGUUUAAAGGGUGCGCAGGCGGGCUAUUAAGUCAGUGGUGAAAUCCCGGGGCUCAACUCCGGAACUGCCAUUGAUACUGAUAGUCUUGAGUUUGGUUGAAGUGGGCGGAAUGUAGCAUGUAGCGGUGAAAUGCAUAGAUAUGCUACAGAACACCAAUCGCGAAGGCAGCUCACUAAGCCAAAACUGACGCUCAUGCACGAAAGCGUGGGGAUCAAACAGGAUUAGAUACCCGGGUAGUC
Molecule: ribosomal RNA, 459 nt
Filed under: uncultured bacterium
Lineage: Bacteria
Description: partial 16S ribosomal RNA
Rfam family: Bacterial small subunit ribosomal RNA
Source: RNAcentral